GCGAAGCGGCGAUGACCUUCUAAAUUGGGAAACGAAUCCCUGGCGAACUCUGCGUCCAGUAGCUCCAACUGCACCUUGUCGUAAAAGUGGCGCUGACGACCUGAUCGGGAAGAUUUUGCGGUGGAAUCAACUGGAUAACAAUCUGAAGAACUCCGGCCGCCUUCAGAUCUGCGAGCAUCUUGACGACGUGUUCGGGCAUGGGUGGAGGAGUGGGGAGGUGGUCGCCGGUGGCCUGGAAUCCAUUUUCAUCGGCCACCCAAUUGACGGUGAGGACGACGCCGUCGGGAGUCGUGAACGAGUAGGAGCCCUUGGACACGGUCCCGAUAUCCUCCGGUUUGGCACCAACUUGUUUCUGGCUGCCACUUUCAGACACUUUGGUCCCAUCGGCAGACUCGAAAC
Long non-coding RNA from Daphnia pulicaria, 399 nucleotides. RefSeq lists it as uncharacterized. The transcript has 2 exons. The record is from RefSeq and is a predicted model, not a curated record. NCBI's taxonomy places the organism in Eukaryota, Metazoa, Arthropoda, Branchiopoda, Diplostraca, Daphniidae.